Molecule: ribosomal RNA, 253 nt
Filed under: uncultured bacterium
Lineage: Bacteria
Description: partial 16S ribosomal RNA
Rfam family: Bacterial small subunit ribosomal RNA
Source: RNAcentral
UACGUAGGGGGCGAGCGUUGUCCGGAUUUAUUGGGCGUAAAGAGCGUGUAGGCGGCCAGGUAGGUCUGCUGUGAAAACUCGAGGCUCAACCUCGAGACGUCGGUUGAAACCGUCUGGCUAGAGUCCGGAAGAGGAGAGUGGAAUUCCCGGUGUAGCGGUGAAAUGCGCAGAUAUCGGGAAGUACACCCGUGGCGAAGGCGGCUCUCUGGGACGGUACUGACGCUGAGACGCGAAAGCGUGGGGAGCGAACAGG